Molecule: ribosomal RNA, 467 nt
Filed under: uncultured bacterium
Lineage: Bacteria
Description: partial 16S ribosomal RNA
Rfam family: Bacterial small subunit ribosomal RNA
Source: RNAcentral
GAUGAACGCUGGCGGCGUGCUUAACACAUGCAAGUCGAACGGAAAGGCCCAAGCUUGCUUGGGUACUCGAGUGGCGAACGGGUGAGUAACACGUGGGUGAUCUGCCCUGCACUUCGGGAUAAGCCUGGGAAACUGGGUCUAAUACUGGAUAGGACCACUUCUUGGAUGUUGUGGUGGAAAGUUUUUUCGGUGUGGGAUGAGCUCGCGGCCUAUCAGCUUGUUGGUGGGGUAAUGGCCUACCAAGGCGUCGACGGGUAGCCGGCCUGAGAGGGUGUACGGCCACAUUGGGACUGAGGUACGGCCCAGACUCCUACGGGAGGCAGCAGUGGGGAAUAUUGCACAAGGGGCGCAAGCCUGAUGCAGCGACGCCGCGUGGGGGAUGACGGCCUUAGGGUUGAAAACUCCUUUCGCUAGGGACGAAGCGUUUUGUGACGGUACCUGGAGAAGAAGCACCGGCUAACUACGUG